RNAcentral lists this ribosomal RNA (406 nucleotides) under uncultured bacterium. Its description in RNAcentral is "partial 16S ribosomal RNA". It matches the Rfam family "Bacterial small subunit ribosomal RNA", at positions 30 to 526 of the family's 1533-position model. The record is from RNAcentral.
AUUGAACGCUGGCGGCAGGCCUAACACAUGCAAGUCGAACGAGUGGCGGACGGGUGAGUAAUGUCUGGGAAACUGCCUGAUGGAGGGGGAUAACUACUGGAAACGGUAGCUACUACCGCAUCCACUCGGAGGUGCCCAGAUGGGAUUAGCUAGUAGGUGGGGUAAAGGCUCACCUAGGCGACGAUCCCUAGCUGGUCUGAGAGGAUGACCAGCCACGCUGGAACUGAGACACGGUCCAGCCUCCUACGGGAGGCAGCAGUGGGGAAUAUUGCACAAUGGGCGCAAGCCUGAUGCAGCCAUGCCGCGUGUAUGAAGAAGGCCUUCAGGUUGUAAAGUACUUUCAGCGGGGAGGCGUUACCCGCAGAAGAAGCACCGGCUAACUCCGUGCCAGCCGCCGCGGUAAUAC